This 2012-nucleotide ribosomal RNA is filed under the name human metagenome. RNAcentral's name for it is "bacterial LSU rRNA". It matches the Rfam family "Bacterial large subunit ribosomal RNA", at positions 760 to 2853 of the family's 2925-position model. The record is from RNAcentral.
AACCCCAUGGAGGACCGAACCGACCCCCGUUGCAAUGGUGGCGGAUGACUUGUGGAUAGCGGAGAAAUUCCAAUCGAACUCGGAGAUAGCUGGUUCUCCCCGAAAUAGCUUUAGGGCUAGCGUUAUGUUAGAUUACCGGAGGUAAAGCACUGAAUGGUGGCGGGGCCGAUAAGGUUACCAAGACCUAUCAAACUCUGAAUGCCGGAUAAUUGAUGCAUAGCAGUCAGACAGCGUGAGAUAAGUUUCGUUGUCAAAAGGGAAACAGCCCAGACCCACAGCUAAGGUCCCAAAUUCAUGCUAAGUGGAAAACGAUGUGGAAUUGCGAAAACAACCAGGAUGUUGGCUUAGAAGCAGCCACUCAUUAAAAGAGUGCGUAAUAGCUCACUGGUCGAGUGACUCUGCGCGGAAAAUGUAACGGGGCUAAGCGUAACACCGAAGCUUGGGAUGCAGCAAUGCAUGGUAGGGGAGCGUCGAAUACGGGGUGAAGUCGCAGCGGGAGCAGCGGUGGACUGUAUUCGAGUGAGAAUGCCGGAAUGAGUAGCGAGAAUUAUGUGGGAAUCAUAAUGGCCGAAAAUCUAAGGUUUCUUGGGGAAGGUUCGUCCGCCCAAGGUAAGUCGGGAGCUAAGCUCAGGCCGAGAGGCGUAGGCGAUGCACAUACGGUAGAAAUUCCGUAACCACCGAAACUUAAACAGAGGGACACUUCGAAAUAGCGGAACCCGGGCGUUGGUUGACCCGGGCGAAAGGGAGCGAAAUUAGAGUAGCGAAGUCCGCGAUGUUCGGAGGCGAGAAAAGCUCUGAGGUAUGCUAAGGUGCCCGUACCGCAAACCGACACAGGUAGAUGAGGAGAGAAUCCUAAGGCCAACGGGAGAAGGGUUGUUAAGGAACUCGGCAAGUUGACCCCGUAACUUCGGAAUAAGGGGAGCCUCGCAAGAGGCCGCAGUGAAAAGGCCCAAGCAACUGUUUACCAAAAACACAGGUCUAUGCUAAAUCGAAAGAUGACGUAUAUGGGCUGACGCCUGCCCGGUGCCGGAAGGUUAAGAGGAGAUGUCAGGCAACGAAGCAUUGAAUUUAAGCCCCGGUAAACGGCGGCCGUAACUAUAACGGUCCUAAGGUAGCGAAAUUCCUUGUCAGGUAAGUUCUGACCCGCACGAAAGGCGUAAUGAUUUGGGCACUGUCUCAACAGCCCGCCCGGCGAAAUUGUAGUACUGGUGAAGAUGCCAGUUACCCGCAACUAGACGGAAAGACCCCAUGGAGCUUUACUGCAGCUUAAUACUGAAAUUCGGUAGUACAUGUACAGGAUAGGUGGGAGACUGAGAAAUACAGGCGUCAGCUUGUAUGGAGUCGCUGUUGGGAUACCACUCUUGUACUGCUGGGUUUCUAACCUGCGGCCGUGAAUCCGGUCGGGGGACACUGUUAGGCGGGCAGUUUGACUGGGGCGGUCGCCUCCUAAAGAGUAACGGAGGCGCUCAAAGGUUGGCUCAGCACGGACGGAAAUCGUGCAGUGAGUGUAAACGUAGAAGCCAGCCUAACUGCGAGACCGACGGGUCGAGCAGUAACGAAAGUUGGAGUUAGUGAUCCGGUGGUAUGUGAGUGGAAAUGCCAUCGCUCAACGGAUAAAAGCUACCCUGGGGAUAACAGGCUGAUCUCCCCCAAGCGUCCACAGCGACGGGGAGGUUUGGCACCUCGAUGUCGGCUCGUCACAUCCUGGGGCUGUAUUCGGUCCCAAGGGUUCGGCUGUUCGCCGAUUAAAGUGGCACGCGAGCUGGGUUCAGAACGUCGUGAGACAGUUCGGUCCCUAUCUGUUGCGGGCGUAAGAGAUUUGAAGGGAGCUGUCCUUAGUACGAGAGGACCGGGAUGGACGUACCUCUGGUGCACCAGUUGUCCUGCCAAGGGCAUAGCUGGGUAGCUAAGUACGGACGAGAUAAACGCUGAAAGCAUCUAAGCGUGAAACUCCCCCUAAGAUGAGAUCUCUCACCUCGAAAGAGGGUAAGGGCCCAGGAAGACUACCUGGU